GUGGGGAAUAUUGCACAAUGGGCGAAAGCCUGAUGCAGCAACGCCGCGUGAGGGACGACGGCCUUCGGGUUGUAAUCCUCUUUUAGUAGGGAAGAAGCGAAAGUGACGGUACCUGCAGAAAAAGCACCGGCUAACUACGUGCCAGCAGCCGCGGUAAUACGUAGGGUGCAAGCGUUAUCCGGAAUUAUUGGGCGUAAAGAGCUCGUAGGCGGUCUGUCGCGUCUGCUGUGAAAACUGGAGGCUCAACCUCCAGCCUGCAGUGGGUACGGGCAGACGAGAGUGCGGUAGGGGAGAUUGGAAUUCCUGGUGUAGCGGUGGAAUGCGCAGAUAUCAGGAGGAACACCGAUGGCGAAGGCAGAUCUCUGGGCCGUAACUGACGCUGAGGAGCGAAAGCGUGGGGAGCGAACAGGAUUAGAUACCCGGGUAGUCC
Molecule: ribosomal RNA, 430 nt
Filed under: uncultured bacterium
Lineage: Bacteria
Description: partial 16S ribosomal RNA
Rfam family: Bacterial small subunit ribosomal RNA
Source: RNAcentral